This 374-nucleotide ribosomal RNA is filed under the name uncultured organism. RNAcentral's name for it is "partial 16S ribosomal RNA". It matches the Rfam family "Bacterial small subunit ribosomal RNA", at positions 527 to 896 of the family's 1533-position model. The record is from RNAcentral.
GUAGGUGGCAAGCGUUGUCCGGAAUUAUUGGGCGUAAAGCGCGCGCAGGCGGUCCUUUAAGUCUGAUGUGAAAUCCCACGGCUCGACCGUGGAAGGUCAUUGGAAACUGGGGGACUUGAGUACAGAAGAGGAAAGCGGAAUUCCAAGUGUAGCGGUGAAAUGCGUAGAGAUUUGGAGGAACACCAGUGGCGAAGGCGGCUUUCUGGUCUGUAACUGACGCUGAGGCGCGAAAGCGUGGGGAGCAAACAGGAUUAGAUACCCUGGUAGUCCACGCCGUAAACGAUGAGUGCUAAGUGUUAGGGGGUUUCCCGCCCCCCUUAGUGCUGCAGCUAACGCAUUAAGCACUCCGCCUGGGGAGUACGGUCGCAAGACUG